AUGUCGCCACAUGAACUCAUUGAGCUUAAGGAGGAAAUCGACAAAUCUCUUAGCAAAGGUUUCAUUCACCCUAGUUGCUCUCCUUGGGGAGCACCUUCUCUCUUUGUUAAGAAGAAGGAUGGGACAAACCGAUUGGUCCAAGAUUAUCGACCUAUUAACCAAGCCACUAUUCAAAACAAAUAUCCCCUCCCUCGGAUCAAUGAUCUUUAUGAUCAACUGGCUGGUUCAUCAGUGUUCUCCAAACUCGACUUGAGGUUGGGUUACCACCAGAUCCGUGUUUGUGAAGAGGAUAUCCCAAAGACCGCCUUCGUGACUCGGUAUGGAUCACGAGUACACCGUCAUGUCAUUCGGCUUAAUGAAUGCUCCCACCACCUUCUCUUGUCUGAUGAACUAUAUAUUCAUGGAUUACCUCGACAAGUUCAUCGUGGUUUAUCUGGAUGA
This 441-nucleotide ribosomal RNA is filed under the name Triticum aestivum (bread wheat). RNAcentral describes it as "partial small subunit ribosomal RNA". Lineage: Eukaryota; Viridiplantae; Streptophyta; Magnoliopsida; Poales; Poaceae. The record is from RNAcentral.